AAGUCGUAACAAGGUUUCCGUAGGUGAACCUGCGGAAGGAUCAUUAACACGUAUCCAAACGUUAAAACCCCCCCCGUGAACCUUCAUCCUGCUCUUGUAACCCGCGUAGUUCGCAAUCUCUGAUAAAUCAUAGCCCGGAAAGUUGUAGUAAUCCAGAGACCUCUGGCUACGUGCGAACAUUGGAACAGUUACAAUCGAGUCGGAAAGUGUCAUUGAUUGUGCAAGGAUAGCGCUUCUACGAUUCCUGUAGACCGUACACUCGGGCAGCAGCUUUGCCAAAGGGUCCCCAUGCCCCCUAAUAACCCCACAGUUUAAUGUGAAGCUCAAUGUAAUACAUUGGGUAAAAAAACCGAACAACUGUUAACAAUGGAUAUCUUGGUUCUC
This 384-nucleotide unclassified non-coding RNA is filed under the name fungal sp. Its description in RNAcentral is "partial internal transcribed spacer region". The stretch from base 1 to 46 matches the Rfam family "Eukaryotic small subunit ribosomal RNA", at positions 1786 to 1831 of the family's 1831-position model. The record is from RNAcentral. Lineage: Eukaryota; Fungi.